UGUCAUUCUUCAGUUACUAUUUCUGAUUGCUUGCAACACAAACACAGAUGCCACACAAACAUUCUCACACACAUUCAGAGAUUGAUUCACUCAUCAGAUAAUGCAACUGAUUGGAACAUGCUAGCCAGAAAUGUCUAAUAGGAGAUUUUGGAUACUCUUCUUUUUUCUCGGUAUCAUGCAUUUUAGCUAAAACGAUAUGUUUUCACUUAAAGAUGAUUGGAACAGGAACC
RNAcentral lists this long non-coding RNA (230 nucleotides) under Bos taurus (domestic cattle). RNAcentral's name for it is "long non-coding RNA NONBTAT018611". Lineage: Eukaryota; Metazoa; Chordata; Mammalia; Artiodactyla; Bovidae. The record is from RNAcentral.